UACAGAGGUGGCAAGCGUUGUUCGGAUUUAUUGGGUGUAAAGCGCACGUAGGCGGCAUUGUAAGUGUCUGGUGAAAUCCCACGGCUCACCCGUGGAACUGCCAGGCAUACUGUGAUGCUCGAGUGUGGUAGGGGAGAGCGGAACUCCUGGUGGAGCGGUGAAAUGCGUAGAUAUCAGGAGGAACACCGAUGGCGAAGGCAGGUCUCUGGGCAUUAACUGACGCUGAGGAGCGAAAGCAUGGGGAGCGAACAGG
This 253-nucleotide ribosomal RNA is filed under the name uncultured bacterium. RNAcentral's name for it is "partial 16S ribosomal RNA". It matches the Rfam family "Bacterial small subunit ribosomal RNA", at positions 524 to 776 of the family's 1533-position model. The record is from RNAcentral.